Molecule: ribosomal RNA, 465 nt
Filed under: Epeorus yougoslavicus
Lineage: Eukaryota; Metazoa; Arthropoda; Insecta; Ephemeroptera; Heptageniidae
Description: partial large subunit ribosomal RNA
Rfam family: Bacterial large subunit ribosomal RNA
Source: RNAcentral
UAAAGGGCCGCGGUAUAUUGACCGUGCAAAGGUAGCAUAAUCAUUAGUCUUCUAAUUAAAGGCUGGUAUGAAUGGUUGGACGAGGUAUUAGCUGUCUCCCUGAAACUAUUUUGAAUUUAACUUUUUAGUCAAAAGGCUGAAAUGAAAUUGGAGGACGAGAAGACCCUAUAGAUCUUGAUAUUAAAAUUGUUUAAUCAUUUUAGGUGGAUUUAGAUUUAAUGAUGUAAAUAUUUUGUUGGGGUGACAGGAAGAUAAUAAAAACUAUUUUUAUAAAGUUAACAUUGAUAUAUGAUUAAAUGAUCCGUGGUAGCGAUUAAAAGACUAAGUUACCUUAGGGAUAACAGCGUAAUCUUUUUUGAGAGUUCUAAUCGACAAAAAGGGUUGCGACCUCGAUGUUGGACUAAGGGUUAUUCUUGGGUGUAGAAGUUCAAGGUUUAGGUCUGUUCGACCUUUGAACCCUUACAU